Dreissena polymorpha is the source of this 3310-nucleotide long non-coding RNA. RefSeq lists it as uncharacterized. The transcript has 3 exons. The record is from RefSeq and is a predicted model, not a curated record. NCBI's taxonomy places the organism in Eukaryota, Metazoa, Mollusca, Bivalvia, Myida, Dreissenidae.
ACCAGUUUAUUAAGCAUGAGCACAAUAAUUCACUAUACUAUAAUUAUGCAAUUAAAUAAGAUUCGAGUAUUGCCGGCUGACCUAUAUGCACUCGUUUAUUUUCAUGUUUCUUGUGUUUUUCUAUUCUGUAAAUAUAGAUAUCUGAGUAAUAAUAUCACAUAAAGCAAAUUUAACCACGAAAUCUUACGCAACACCCCGUUAUUGAUUUGCUUGUGAUGUAGCUAAGAACUGCGCAGAAAAAAGGCAUCCGCUACUUUUUAUCUCAUAGAGAUAACUUUUGAUCGUCCAUAAACAUCGACCACAAUCAACGCCGUAUAUCUUUUUUAAAGAUAUUUCUUGUUUAAGGUAUUAGCACUCUAAUGAACUUCGUGCAAUAUCGCAUUCUUUCUUACAUAUCCGUCACUCCGAACGCUGGACUGUGCGGAAAACUAAGAAUAUUCUAUAAAUACGCUAUGAAAUACUAAAUGUAGGACCCGCUAAAUACAAAGACAAGAAAUAUGGCCGACAUUGUACCUGACAGAUUGGGUCGUUUAAAGAAAAAGCAAUUUGCUGUAUUGAAAGAGAACAAUUAAUAAAAGUGUUAUUAUUGUUCAUAUUAAUGUGACUGUAGUUAAUGAUAAACGUCAACUAAUGCAUGGCAGUGUUGAUAUUUAUGAAGAAAACGAUUCCUGGAAAUACAAAUGUCAAACGAUUGAAAAUUUCGACCACUGUGAAGAAUAACGUUUAGAACCCGUGUCAUUUACACAAUUUAAUAUGUUCUUGAGCAGUAAAAGGGGAUAAAGUGGAUUUAUGAUUGUGUGAUGACUGUAGCCAUGGUUAUCGUACGGCAAAAACACAUCACGUUAGAAGAGUCUUCAACUUUUCAAGAAAGGAAUGCCUUGUUGUGCUAUCAACACAAAGCUCGGAACAGGAAGGUACAUGGAUUACAGUAUGCAAUAUUGUUUUCAAGUAUAACAGUUUCAUUAUUCAUAAUUGGAGUUCAUGCGAGAAUAAGUUCCUCACUGUACGGUCUCUAACUACCGUUUCGCGGAGUUUGUCUAAACAAGAGCAACUUGUUUGCCAUUAAUAAUAGUUUUACUUUGAGCUUUAAUACAUGUAAAAAUAUAUUAUUGAAUCAAAAUUGUUAAGCAUUGGCUACGGCAUAGUUUUUAUUGUUAACAUAUUCAUGCGAGAAUAAGUUGCUCACUUGACGGUCUCUAACUACCGUUUCGCGGACUUUGUCAAAACAAUAACAACUUUUUUGCCAUUAACUUUGAACUAUAAUCUAAACCAAUAAAAAUAAUUCAGUGGAACUUUAAUUUUCCGUAUUUUCUCUUGAUUUUUACAUGGUUUAAAUUAACCUCAGUUUUAAUAACAAUGAAUACAGUAGGGCACAGUCCGUCAGUUGACAGUGACAAUUUUCGGAUAAACUUCCUGGUUUUUGUCAAAGGGGCAGAACCUACUACCUGGUAGUUUCAAUGAUGAACUAUCAUGAUAUAGGGCUAAAAGAUGGAUGUGCCAAAUCCACCUCAUGAAAAACAGAUUGGGCAAAAGUGGAGUGCGAACACAAAAUGAUGUGCUGCUAAAUAGCAGAUCUUUACAAGUGAAUUAGGCAAAUCCUGAUGCAACCUGAGCUUACCAAGUUUACUGACAGUUUGGACUCUGUGUGGAUGAUAAUAUGGACAAUAUAUUGUGUUCAUGUUGUUUUGUGAUUGACAUUUUUUAACAGAUAAGAUUUUUUAAUCCAGACUUAACAGGUGAUUUUUCUUCAAAGAAUAAAUACAUUACUUUUUUAUUGAUGUGCAUGAAUUUGAGUACAAAAUAUCAACAAUGUGUAUCUUGUGUUGUUUUCCAAUCAGUCUGUCAUCCAUAGGUAAUAUAUUAAGUAUGAGAAGGGAAUAUUUUAUUUUUACAUUUUUGUUGUUUCUGCACACCAUGUCAGAUACAUGAAAAUAUAUUUUAUGCCCCCAACGGGCGGCAUAUGGUUUUCGCACUGUCCAUCUGUCAGUCUGUCUGUCCUCCGUAACACGUUUUGUGUUCACUCUCUAAUUCAAGUAGUUCUAAUCCUAUCUCCAAACUUGGUCAGAAGUUGCAUCCGAAUAAUGUAUAGGUCAAGACGAACAUGGGUCAUGCUGGGUCAAAAACUAUGUCAUAGGGUCACUUAGUGCGUUUCAAACAUUCAGCAUGGUGUCCGCUCUCUAAUUCAAGUAGUUUUCAUCCGAUCUUUCCCAAACUCUGUCAGAAGUUGUAUCUACAUAAUGUCUACGCCAAGUGUGAACAUGGGGCAUGCCGGGCAAAAAAACUAGUUCACUGGGUCACUAAGUGCGUUUUAAACAUUCAGCUUGGUGUCCGCUCUCUAAUUCAAGUAGUUUUCAUCUGAUCUUCACCAAACAUCUUCACAAGUUUUAUCUAGAUGGUCUCUAGGCCAAGUUCGAACAUGCAUGCAAAGAAUUGGCAGAAAAAAAACAUCUACAAACUGCAGCAGAUGACAUAUGUAACAAACAAAAUAAAAAUAUUGAACACCUGUUAUGUAGCAAACUAAUAGUUAAAUAAAAUAAAGGCGAUGUAUAUCUCAAAAACUUUUGCACACUUAUGCUUUUAUGUAGUGACAAAGUUACAGUUGGGGGCAUCCGUGUCGUGUGGACACAUUUGUUUGAUUAAUGAUAAACAACUCAUCAUAGUGAUCUAACUAUAAAAUGUUCUUUACACGAUAAGAAAUACAUUGUAUUGUAUGCCUGCUAAUAUUGUGGUCUAAAAAUAAUAUCACUAAUACUGUUGUAGUUCAUUUAAACAUCAAGAUAUGUGAUGUUAACGUAUGUGUUCAUGUUAUGUUUGUAUUUGAUUUAUUUUUACAUGUUAAUGAAUAUUUUGGUGUUUAAAAUUCAAUCUAUAGUGAAUUAAUUAGUGACGUGUGCCAUUAAAUAUGUAGUGCUUUUUGCUUUUAUUUUGUUAAGUUGAAAAUCAUGUUUUUGAAUCUCUAUGUAUGAAAUGCACUAGUGAAUUUGGUUUGACACUUAUGCGAAGAUUAAUAAUAUAUUAACUUCAAAUACAUUGUUGAUCACAAACAGCAUGUAUAUGCAAUCCACACAUUACUGUUUCCAUAGCAACUGUUAACUUAAUGUAUUUUGUCUACUUAAUUUUAUCAAUCAUGGAACAAAAUUGAAUUGCUAAAUAAACAAAAUAAUGUCUGGCAGUACAGACACACAACACAAAUUGUAUCAUGAGGAGUUAUUCGUUUUAGCUGUACACAAUGUUCAAUUUCUGAAUACACACCUUUUUCCAGAAAAUGUGCAUAUAUUUAUGUAUAUAAUAAACAUGUUAAUGAUGUUCC